RNAcentral lists this ribosomal RNA (253 nucleotides) under uncultured bacterium. Its description in RNAcentral is "partial 16S ribosomal RNA". It matches the Rfam family "Bacterial small subunit ribosomal RNA", at positions 524 to 776 of the family's 1533-position model. The record is from RNAcentral.
UACGGGGGGUGCGAGCGUUGUCCGGAAUCACUGGGCGUAAAGGGCGCGUAGGUGGUUUGAUAAGGGUGUGGUGAAAGCCCGGGGCUCAACCCCGGGUCUGCCGUGCCGACUGUCAAACUCGAGGGCUGUAGAGGCAGACGGAAUUCCGGGUGUAGCGGUGGAAUGCGUAGAGAUCGGAAAGAACACCAACGGCGAAAGCACUCUGCUGGGCCGACACUGACACUGAGAGACGAAAGCGUGGGGAGCGAACCGG